AUGAACGCUAGCUACAGGCUUAACACAUGCAAGUCGAGGGGCAGCGGGAUUGAAGCUUGCUUCAAUUGCCGGCGACCGGCGCACGGGUGAGUAACGCGUAUCCAACCUUCCGUACACUCAGGGAUAGCCUUUCGAAAGAAAGAUUAAUACCUGAUGGUAUGAUGAGAUCGCAUGGUAUCAUCAUUAAAGAUUUAUCGGUGUACGAUGGGGAUGCGUUCCAUUAGGCAGUUGGCGGGUAACGGCCCACCAAACCAACGAUGGAUAGGGGUUCUGAGAGGAAGGUCCCCCACAUUGGAACUGAGACACGGUCCAAACUCCUACGGGAGGCAGCAGUGAGGAAUAUUGGUCAAUGGACGAGAGUCUGAACCAGCCAAGUAGCGUGAAGGAUGACUGCCCUAUGGGUUGUAAACUUCUUUUAUACGGGAAUAAAGUGAGGCAUGUGUGCCUUUUGUAUGCACCGUAUGAAUAAGGAUCGGCUAACUCCGUG
RNAcentral lists this ribosomal RNA (487 nucleotides) under uncultured bacterium. RNAcentral's name for it is "bacterial SSU rRNA". It matches the Rfam family "Bacterial small subunit ribosomal RNA", at positions 29 to 507 of the family's 1533-position model. The record is from RNAcentral.